RNAcentral lists this ribosomal RNA (441 nucleotides) under uncultured bacterium. Its description in RNAcentral is "partial 16S ribosomal RNA". It matches the Rfam family "Bacterial small subunit ribosomal RNA", at positions 338 to 795 of the family's 1533-position model. The record is from RNAcentral.
CCUACGGGAGGCAGCAGUAGGGAAUAUUGGGCAAUGGAGGCAACUCUGACCCAGCAAUGCCGCGUGAGUGAUGAAGGUAAUUUUAUUGUAAAGCUCUUUUCUUUGGAACGAAUAAAUGACGGUACCAAAGGAAUAAGCCCCGGCUAACUAUGUGCCAGCAGGCGCGGUAAUACGUAGGUGGCAAGCGGUGUUCGGAAGGACUGGGCGUAAAGGGUGUGGAGGUGGUUUGAUAAGUGAGAGGUGUAAUACCCAGGGCUUAACUCGGGUCCUGCAUGUAAAUCUGUUAGACCUGAGUACUGGAGAGGAUAGUGGAAUUCCGAGUGUCGCUGUGGAAUGCGUAGAUAUUAGGAGGAACAUGAGUGGAGAAGGCGACUAUCUCGUCAGCAACUGACACUGAGGCACGAAAGCGUGGGGAGCAAACAGGAUGAGAUACCUUGUGUC